This 810-nucleotide long non-coding RNA is filed under the name Zea mays. RNAcentral's name for it is "long non-coding RNA (ZMAY_LNC005711)". Lineage: Eukaryota; Viridiplantae; Streptophyta; Magnoliopsida; Poales; Poaceae. The record is from RNAcentral.
GGAUUCAUCACGGCGCCCUCCAGCGCGCCGCAGGCCAGCACGUUGGCCCCCGCCAGAAGCCCCACGGCGAGCGGCGCCGCCAGCGCUCCGGCGCCGGCGCGGACCCUCCGCGCUUUGUCCAUCACCGUCGCAAAGUAGGCGUACAUGAGCCCGAACGCCAUGGCCGCCUCCAGCACCGCCGCGUUCCAUCCGCUCACGCCCCCCGCCAGCGCGUACUCCGGCAGAUGCUGCGUGAACGCGCGCGCGUGCACCAAGCCCACAUGUGUCAGUCGGCGUCAAUAUUGUAGCACAGCUGCAUAAGGUCAGGCGGCGGAUCGAGUACGUACCAUCCCUCCGGUGGCGAGCCUGAGCACGAGCGCGGCGGCGACGGCGCCGAGCAGCUGCGCGGCCCAGUAGACGAGGGAGCGGACGAGGCAGAUCCGGCCGGCGAGCAGCGCGCCGAAGGUGACGGCCGGGUUGACGUGGCCGCCGGAGAUGUUGGCGGCGCACCCCACUGCGGCCGCGAGCGCGAGGGCGUGCGCGAGCGCCACCGCCACCAGGCCGCCGCCGCCCUUGUCAUGGUGGUGCAUCCUCCCUGCGCGCGCGCGGCACCGGUGCACACGUUUACGACGUACGACGAGUGAGGAGACACGCGCGACGACAAGCACACAGCAUGCACCGUUAAUUUAUACACAGUAUAUAUAUAACGUAAGUAGGUAGGUACGUACCGAGAGAGAGCGUGGCACCCUCGGCGGCGAAGACGAAGAUGGCGGUGGCGAGGAGUUCGGCGGCCGCGUGGCGCAGCGUGGCGGGGUCUUUGGCCGUAGCCAG